UGUGCCGCCCUGAAGGGCGUAUGGUGGAUGCCUUGGCAGACAGUACCGAUGAAGGACGUUUGAGGAUGCGAUAAGCCUCGGGGAGCCUCCAACAUGGCUUCGAUCCGAGGAUUUCCGAAUGGGGCAACCCGCCGGCCGUCAUGGGCCGGCACGGAACCUUGUUGUUCCGGGGGUACGCAGGGAAGUGAAACAUCUCAGUACCUGCAGGAAGGGAUACUCCGUGAGUAGUGGCGAGCGAAAGCGGAUCAGACCAAACCAUGGGCGCGUGAUACCCGUCGGGGGUUGCGUUCGUGGUGUUGAGGGAGCGUGUGUCCCGGUUCCGACGGACCGGGCGGGAGUCAUAAAACGGCUUGCAAGGGGAACAGGCUUGAAGGCCUGGCCGCAGAGGGUGCCAGCCCCGUACCUGGAAGCUUGCCGUCUUCCGAUCAUGUGUCCCAAGUAGCGCGGGCCUCGUGGAAUCCCGUGUGAAUCGGCCCCGACCGUGGGGUAAGUCUAAGCAUACCUGUCUGACCGAUAGCGUACCAGUACCGUGAGGGAAAGGUGAAAAGCACCCCGGGAGGGGAGUGAAAGAGUUCCUGAAACCGUGCGCCUACAAUCCGUCGGAGCCUCCUUGUGGGGUGACGGCGUGCCUAUCGAAAAAUGAGUCUGCGAGUCAGUGGUGCGUGGCGAGGCUAACCCGUGGUGGGGGAGCCGUAGCGAAGGCGAGUCUCAAAAGGCGUUUUGAGUCGCGCGCCCUGGACCCGAAGCGGGAUGAUCUAGCCCUGGGCAGGUUGAAGCGCGGGUAAGACCGCGUGGAGGACCGAACCCACCUGGGUUGAAAACCGGGGGGAUGACCUGGGGCUAGGGGUGAAAGGCCAAUCAAAUUCCGUGAUAG
Molecule: ribosomal RNA, 874 nt
Filed under: Bifidobacterium sp.
Lineage: Bacteria; Bacillati; Actinomycetota; Actinomycetes; Bifidobacteriales; Bifidobacteriaceae
Description: partial 23S ribosomal RNA
Rfam family: Bacterial large subunit ribosomal RNA
Source: RNAcentral